AGUUGAAAGUGGUACCAAAGUUGAAAGUGGUACCAAAGUUGAAAAUGAUACUAAAGUUAAAAAUGGUACCAUUUUCAACUUUGGUACCAUUUUCAACUUUGUUACCGUUU
Molecule: microRNA precursor, 110 nt
Filed under: Strigamia maritima
Lineage: Eukaryota; Metazoa; Arthropoda; Chilopoda; Geophilomorpha; Linotaeniidae
Description: microRNA mir-598
Source: RNAcentral